AGCGCAGGCGGGAAGACAAGUUGGAAGUGAAAUCCAUGGGCUCAACCCAUGAACUGCUUUCAAAACUGUUUUUCUUGAGUAGUGCAGAGGUAGGCGGAAUUCCCGGUGUAGCGGUGGAAUGCGUAGAUAUCGGGAGGAACACCAGUGGCGAAGGCGGCCUACUGGGCACCAACUGACGCUGAGGCUCGAAAGUGUGGGUGGCAAACA
This 207-nucleotide ribosomal RNA is filed under the name uncultured bacterium. Its description in RNAcentral is "partial 16S ribosomal RNA". It matches the Rfam family "Bacterial small subunit ribosomal RNA", at positions 568 to 774 of the family's 1533-position model. The record is from RNAcentral.